RNAcentral lists this unclassified non-coding RNA (675 nucleotides) under uncultured Prochlorococcus sp. RNAcentral describes it as "partial may contain 16S ribosomal RNA, 16S-23S ribosomal RNA intergenic spacer, and 23S ribosomal RNA". The stretch from base 305 to 377 matches the Rfam family "tRNA". Lineage: Bacteria; Bacillati; Cyanobacteriota; Cyanophyceae; Synechococcales; Prochlorococcaceae. The record is from RNAcentral.
UUGUGGAGGAGGACGCCGAAGGUGGGGCUAAUGACUGGGGUGAAGUCGUAACAAGGUAGCCGUACCGGAAGGUGCGGCUGGAUCACCUCCUAACAGGGAGACAACAAAAUGUUUAAUAUUAUUAUUUUGUCACCUUAGGUCGAUCGGUAUCUCACGUUUUUAAUUUAUUAAAAAUUUCAUUUCCUAAGUUUUUCUAGGUCACACCCAUUAUUUUUCCUGGGCCAUUAGCUCAGGUGGUUAGAGCGCACCCCUGAUAAGGGUGAGGUCCCUGGUUCAAGUCCAGGAUGGCCCAUAUCUCUAUGUUGGGGGUAUAGCUCAGUUGGUAGAGCGCCUGCUUUGCAAGCAGGAUGUCAGCGGUUCGAGUCCGCUUACCUCCACUGAUUACCACCUCUUCCAUAACCGGUAGAUAGGAAAUGUUUUGAGUUGUGAUCAAAAUCUGAAAGAAUCUAGCUUCCUAAUGAAAUCAUUAAGAUGCUGGACUCAUUGAAUUAAUUUCAUUGUUUUCAGAGAACCUUGACAACUGCAUAGAUUAUUUUUAAAGACAAUAAGCAUCUUUAAAGAUGCAGAUUUAUUAUUUGUGCGAAUGCAUUAAUAACAAUUCUAUUAAGCUGAUGCUUCAAUUUUUGAAGUUAUUGGUCAAGCUACAAAGGGCUCACGGAGGAUACCUAGGCACAC